AUUCCAGCUCCAAUAGCGUAUACUAAAGUUGUUGCAGUUAAAAAGCUCGUAGUUGAAUUUCUGGUCGUGAAAAGUGGUCCGUUCCGCAAGGAAUGUGUACUGUCUAUUCAUGUCCAUCCUCGGAGUUAGUGUGUAUUACUUUAAUCGGUCGUGCAUGCAAUACUUCGUCAUUUACUGUGAGCAAAAUAGAGUGUUCAAAGCAGGCUUAUGCCGUUGAAUAUAUUAGCAUGGAAUAAUAAGAUAUGACUUUGGUCUACUUUGUUGGUUUGCACUCCAAAGUAAUGAUUAAUAGGGAUAGUUGGGGGUAUUCGUAUUCAAUUGUCAGAGGUGAAAUUCUUGGAUUUAUGGAAGACGAACUACUGCGAAAGCAUUUACCAAGGAUGUUUUCAUCG
This 392-nucleotide ribosomal RNA is filed under the name Chrysophyceae sp. RNAcentral's name for it is "partial small subunit ribosomal RNA". It matches the Rfam family "Eukaryotic small subunit ribosomal RNA", at positions 582 to 975 of the family's 1831-position model. Lineage: Eukaryota; Chrysophyceae. The record is from RNAcentral.